GCCAGCAGCAUACCACCCUGCAACCCACUGCUGGCUUGCUUCUGAAGCUAAGCAGGGUUGGUCCUGGUUAGUCCCUGGAUAGGAAACCAGAUGCUGCUGGAA
This 102-nucleotide ribosomal RNA is filed under the name Hucho hucho (huchen). Lineage: Eukaryota; Metazoa; Chordata; Actinopteri; Salmoniformes; Salmonidae. The record is from RNAcentral.